ACAUGGUGUACUACUUCCUGGAGGAAAGC
This 29-nucleotide non-coding RNA is filed under the name Homo sapiens (human). Lineage: Eukaryota; Metazoa; Chordata; Mammalia; Primates; Hominidae. The record is from RNAcentral.